GGGGAGGCGCAAACCCGCCUCCAGGGCGUCUAGGGUUAAGGCGAAGCCCUUCGGGACCGGGUCGUACGCCCGUUGUCCCGGUUCAGGCGCACCAAGAACGUAGUCCCCCGGGAUACCAUAGCGCUCCCGGAGUCCGACCAGUGACGACUCACUCACAGAGGAGUCCUGAUCAUGCGGCCACAUCAAGGCCUCAAGAGCCCGCGCC
Molecule: long non-coding RNA, 205 nt
Filed under: Musa acuminata (dwarf banana)
Lineage: Eukaryota; Viridiplantae; Streptophyta; Magnoliopsida; Zingiberales; Musaceae
Description: long non-coding RNA (MACU_LNC009837)
Source: RNAcentral